GCGGGUGUUGUGUAAUGGUAAGACCUUAGCCUUCCAAGCUAAAGACACGGGUUCGAUUCCCGUCACCCGCUCCA
This 74-nucleotide transfer RNA is filed under the name Rhodobacter sp. RNAcentral describes it as "tRNA-Gly". It matches the Rfam family "tRNA". From Rfam's summary of the family: Transfer RNA (tRNA) molecules are approximately 80 nucleotides in length. Their secondary structure includes four short double-helical elements and three loops (D, anti-codon, and T loops). The record is from RNAcentral. Lineage: Bacteria; Pseudomonadati; Pseudomonadota; Alphaproteobacteria; Rhodobacterales. RNAcentral also lists the same sequence under 7 other names.